Molecule: ribosomal RNA, 699 nt
Filed under: uncultured Pseudomonadota bacterium
Lineage: Bacteria; Pseudomonadati; Pseudomonadota
Description: bacterial SSU rRNA
Rfam family: Bacterial small subunit ribosomal RNA
Source: RNAcentral
ACGCUGGCGGCAGGCCUAACACAUGCAAGUCGAACGGUAACAGGAAGAAGCUUGCUUCUUUGCUGACGAGUGGCGGACGGGUGAGUAAUGUCUGGGAAACUGCCUGAUGGAGGGGGAUAACUACUGGAAACGGUAGCUAAUACCGCAUAACGUCGCAAGACCAAAGAGGGGGACCUUCGGGCCUCUUGCCAUCGGAUGUGCCCAGAUGGGAUUAGCUAGUAGGUGGGGUAACGGCUCACCUAGGCGACGAUCCCUAGCUGGUCUGAGAGGAUGACCAGCCACACUGGAACUGAGACACGGUCCAGACUCCUACGGGAGGCAGCAGUGGGGAAUAUUGCACAAUGGGCGCAAGCCUGAUGCAGCCAUGCCGCGUGUAUGAAGAAGGCCUUCGGGUUGUAAAGUACUUUCAGCGGGGAGGAAGGGAGUAAAGUUAAUACCUUUGCUCAUUGACGUUACCCGCAGAAGAAGCACCGGCUAACUCCGUGCCAGCAGCCGCGGUAAUACGGAGGGUGCAAGCGUUAAUCGGAAUUACUGGGCGUAAAGCGCACGCAGGCGGUUUGUUAAGUCAGAUGUGAAAUCCCCGGGCUCAACCUGGGAACUGCAUCUGAUACUGGCAAGCUUGAGUCUCGUAGAGGGGGGUAGAAUUCCAGGUGUAGCGGUGAAAUGCGUAGAGAUCUGGAGGAAUACCGGUGGCGAAGG